UAUUUAUGCAACAUUCGCCUAGAUGAAGGAACAGGUGCAGCUAUUUCUUCUGCACUAUACAAGGAGUUGGAAAAAAGGGGAAUUGGUCCUGAAAAGAUAAUGGGUCUUGGCACAGACGGAGCUAGUGCAAUGACAGGUAGAGACAGAGGAACUACAGGCAUGAUGCUGCGUCAAAACCCACAUAUCAUGAAUGUACACUGCAUUGCCCACAGACUAGCGUUGUGAACAAGUCAGGCGUCUGAUUCUGUGCCACCAAUGAAAGCAUAUCAGGAAGUCAUAACAUCUAUCUUUUACUACUUCAAAUUCUCUGCUGCAAGAGUUGCAAAGUUACAGGCCAUUCAGGAUGUAUUGGACUCCCCCCGAUUGAGAUUUAAAGAGGUCCAUGCUGUUCGGUGGAUGUCGUUCUUCUCUGCACUUGAAGCAGUUUACAAGGGCUUGGAUCCAUUGAUUACUUAUCUAGCUGCCACCCCAAUGAGUGAUGCCAAAGCACAAGGAUUGAAAAAAAAGGUUGUCAAAUUAUUUCUGUUGCAAACAGGUUAUAAAUAUACUUGUUUUCUAAAUAUUUUCAGCAGUUUUGAAGUCAUUUUUUUACAACUGACAGAAU
Ruditapes philippinarum (Manila clam) is the source of this 604-nucleotide long non-coding RNA. RefSeq lists it as uncharacterized. The transcript is spliced from 4 exons. The record is from RefSeq and is a predicted model, not a curated record. Lineage: Eukaryota; Metazoa; Mollusca; Bivalvia; Venerida; Veneridae.